This 28-nucleotide non-coding RNA is filed under the name Rattus norvegicus (Norway rat). Lineage: Eukaryota; Metazoa; Chordata; Mammalia; Rodentia; Muridae. The record is from RNAcentral.
UAGGCCACAGAGAAACGAUGACCCCAGU